AGAGAGCGGACUGGCAUGGCCUUUUUAUGUGCACACUCUUCUUGCAUGCUUGUUGUUCGGCUUGCUAGGCCGGAGGCGCAGCGAGAGCCAUGGAAACCCUAUCUUCUCUGAACCACCGGAAAUUCAUUACCACUUCCGUCGAAUUCGAUCGCUCGCUCUCCACUCUCUCUGUAUCUUGCUCGCCAUGCCGGUUCUAACCACCAUCUCAUCUGUCGGCCCUCUCCUUCGGCUUCUCCCUGCUCCUUCUGCCCGCAGCAGGAGCCUCCGGUUUCGAUGUAGGGCCAGCUCCGACAGUGACCAGACUGCCGUCCGAUUGCAGGAGUAUUUGGUGGAUGCACCAGAGUCGGUCGGUGAUGGGUUCUCCUUCAGCGGAGGGAAAUACUCGGACGGGCCGAAUCGAGCUGAUGAAUGGCUCGCUCUAGGGAAAACGGUAAAAGCUCAUCCUGUAUAUGGAGGAAAGGGCAAAGCAAAGGAUCCAAUUUUUGGUCUUACACUGGGUGCUGGUUCACAGUCCUCAGCAGAUGUGUUCAGAUGGUUUUGUGUGGAAGCAGGAAGCUCCUUGAACUCUCCAAUUAUUUUAGUUCACGGCUUUCCAUCUCAGGCAUAUUCAUACCGGAAAGUUAUUACCAUGCUAUCAGAAAAUUAUCGUGCCAUUGCUUUCGACUGGCUUGGUUUUGGAUUUUCUGACAAGCCUCAGCCUAGAUAUGGAUUUGACUAUACUUUAGACGAAUAUGUGUUAGCUUUUGAAUCCCUAGUAAAUGUCCUUGUUCCAGGUAAAGUUUCUCUAGUUGUUCAGGGCUACUUUUGUCCUGUGGUUCUUAAAUAUGCUAGCUGUCACCAAGAAAAAUUAUCAGAGCUUAUACUCGUAAAUCCCCCUCUGAUGGAGAAGCAUGCAAAGCUGCCUUCGUCUUUGGCACUAUUCAGCAACUUUUUAUUGGGUGAAAUUUUCUCCCAGGAUCCUCUCAGAGCUAGUGAUAAAGCAUUGACGAGUUGUGGACCAUACAUGAUGAAAGAAGAAGAUGCUAUGGUUUACAGAAGGCCAUACCUCACUUCUGGUUCUUCUGGUUUUGCUUUAAAUGCAAUAAGCAAAGCAAUGAAAAGGGACUUGAAGGGUGGAGCUCCCCCUUUGAUGCUGUGCCAACUAUUCCUCCAGACGAUUCAUUGAAUCUGCAGAGAAUACUUGGUACUAAUUGAUCAGAGUCCAAGCUUUGAGGAGUUUUGCAGAGAUCCAGGGGAAGGAGGAGAAGGGCGAUGGUGGUGGCAUAGGAUGGAAUGAGAGAGAGAGAAGUGGUUAAACUCACUUUGGUUGUUGCCUCCAUUGAUUUUGGUACACUACUGUGCUACACUCUGGCAUGUUAUUAAAAAGGAACAUAACUGUUAAGUUUGGCUUGGUUUCCAACACCAAGUGCAGUCAUGCCUCACCCUCCUGCAUCCCAUGUUGCCCUGCUCUGAACCAGUGCCCUGCAUGCUGCCUGUCACAUUAAGGUCCACUGCCACCCUGAUCAAGUAAAGUAGCCUGUGGCCUGAGGCGAGCCUGCAUGUGCUCCUUCUCGAAGACCACUGAGAUUGCCAUGGGGAGAAGAGCGGUUAGGGAUGCAGCGAAGGGAAGUGUUGACGUUUUAUGGAGCAGAAACACAAUGAUGGAGGGAGGUUGGUGUUUCAUGUAGUUCUUGUUGGCAGAAAAGUGGAGAGACAAGGGAGCAGCUUGAAGGGCAGGGGUGCACAUUGCCUUUUCAACUGGGGCCUGAUGUUGACAACAAAAAGAGGAUGCAUUAGAAAUGACAAUAAAAUAAAUCUUCAAUUGUGCUAUUAAUUGUCUGAUUUCAUUUGCUGGUGAACGACACCAAUCUGCACCAUGAAUCUCUUGUAGGGAGCACCUGAGCUCUCCAACUUUGAACGAGGGUUAUUAACAUUUAGGCUGCGUUUAGUAGGAGGUAAUCCGUCUUGUAAUGUAAUCAAGAUUACAUUACAAUAUUGAUUACUUUGUUUAGUACAGUUGUAAUGUAAUGUAAUCUAGAUUACAAAAGGUAAUAAAGUUUUGUAAUCUGGAUUACAAGGCCAACACCAUAUAAUCCGAUUACAUUAUAAGGUCACCGUUUAAUUAAAAUUUAAAUGUCAAAUAUACCUCUAGUCCAUUUUCGGCAUCAAUUGGUCACUGAUGUUGCUUCCCGUUGCCGAUUGCCGGCCACUGCCACCCACCCUGCCGACCUUCGCGCGGGCAGUUGUCGGUCGCCUCGCCAGCCGCCACGCCACCUCCGGCUGCCACCGACCGCCACCGUCGUGUCCGGUAGAGGUCAGGAUAUUUUUGUUAUUUUAUAAUAAUACGAAUUACAGUCCUUAUAAAAAAUAAUGGACACCAAAUAAAAGAAUAUAAUCACCCUUGUAAUUAAAUAUCACAUACAUUACAUUACAAAGUUUUUACAUUACAAGCUUGAUUACAUUACCUCCUAACCAAACGUAGCAUUUGUCAAAUCAAACAACUUUAGCUGUCAAUCAAUAAUAUCAUGCAAAAGCUCUAUCUAUGCACCUGGGUCACGGUAUUGUGAAGGAAAAAGAAGACAAUUUUAAACAGUUAGUCCUCUCCUAUGCCUGGAGCUAGCUGUGUAUUGUUCAUAAAUUUUUGUUCAACUGCAGCAACCAUGCUUCCAUAAUUUCAUGCCAUUACAAAUGACAUUUGCAGACUAGUUUCUGUCUUGCUUCCCUUGGAAUGUCAACUGGAUUUUGGCACAAACUCAUGUCUCAUAUAAUGCCAUAUCGAACAACUUGUAUUUUUUUGUAAAAAUCUUCAAUCUUUUUGUCCUUGACAAGGAUGUCUAGCCUUAGUCUAUGUGAUAAAUGCUUCAGUAAUGUUUGUAAUGCUUGACAAAUUGUUUUUUUUUCCUUGUUUCAUUUUUCCCUUUUAGUAAUUACUAAUGUUUGCAGCUUUUGGAUUUGUUCAAAUUCUGUGAUAUCCAAAAAAAUUU
This is an RNA transcript of Zingiber officinale, 2963 nucleotides long. It is a transcript of the gene named cis-3-alkyl-4-alkyloxetan-2-one decarboxylase-like, with no coding region annotated. The transcript has 13 exons. Lineage: Eukaryota; Viridiplantae; Streptophyta; Magnoliopsida; Zingiberales; Zingiberaceae. The record is from RefSeq and is a predicted model, not a curated record.